GGGUGGGCGGAGGGGAGGGACAGGGGGCGGAGCUGGAGGGGGUGGUUCGGUGUGGGGGCCGUUGGCUCCAGACAAAUAAACAUGGAGUCCAUCUUCCACGAGAAACAAGAAGGCUCACUUUGUGCUCAACAUUGCCUGAAUAAUUUAUUGCAAGGAGAAUAUUUUAGCCCUGUGGAAUUAUCCUCAAUUGCACAUCAGCUGGAUGAGGAGGAGAGGAUGAGAAUGGCAGAAGGAGGAGUUACUAGUGAAGAUUAUCGCACGUUUUUACAGCAGCCUUCUGGAAAUAUGGAUGACAGUGGUUUUUUCUCUAUUCAGGUUAUAAGCAAUGCCUUGAAAGUUUGGGGUUUAGAACUAAUCCUGUUCAACAGUCCAGAGUAUCAGAGGCUCAGGAUCGAUCCUAUAAAUGAAAGAUCAUUUAUAUGCAAUUAUAAGGAACACUGGUUUACAGUUAGAAAAUUAGGAAAACAGUGGUUUAACUUGAAUUCUCUCUUGACGGGUCCAGAGUUAAUAUCAGAUACAUAUCUUGCACUUUUCUUGGCUCAAUUACAACAGGAAGGUUAUUCUAUAUUUGUUGUUAAGGGUGACCUGCCAGAUUGCGAAGCUGACCAACUCCUGCAGAUGAUCAGGGUCCAACAGAUGCACCGACCAAAACUUAUUGGAGAAGAAUUAGCACAACUGAAAGAGCAAAGAGUCCAUAAAACAGACCUGGAACGAGUGUUAGAAGCAAAUGAUGGCUCAGGAAUGUUAGAUGAAGAUGAGGAGGAUUUGCAGAGGGCUCUGGCACUAAGUCGCCAAGAAAUUGACAUGGAAGAUGAGGAAGCAGAUCUCCGCAGGGCUAUUCAGCUAAGUAUGCAAGGUAGUUCCAGAAAUAUAUCUCAAGAUAUUCCACAGACAUCAGGUACAAAUCUUACUUCAGAAGAGCUUCGGAAGAGACGAGAAGCCUACUUUGAAAAACAGCAGCAACAGCAGAAGCAGCAGCAGCAGCAGCAGCAGGGGGACCUAUCAGGACAGAGUUCACAUCCAUGUGAAAGGCCAACCACCAGUUCAGGAGCACUUGGGAGUGAUCUAGCUACCCAGGAGGCAGAAGCAGGAGGAUUGCUUGAGCCCAGGAGUUUGAGCCUGCAGUGAGCUAUGAUCUUGCCACUGUAAUUCUAGCCUGGUCGACAAAGCAGGAAAAAAGUGUGGAUGGAGGACCAGCAACAUCUGUAUCACCUGUGAAAUAAACAGCCUUGUUGCUCACACAAAGCCUGUUUGGUGGUCUCUUCACAUGGAUGUGUGUGACAUUUGGUGCCGACAACCUGACAGGAGGACUCCUCUGGGAGACCGGUCCCCUGUCCUCGCCCUCACUCCAUGAGGAGAUCCACUUGCGACCUUGGGUCCUCAGACCAACCAGCCCAAGGAACAGCUCAUGAAUUUCAAAUCAGGACUCCAGUGGAAAUCGGACUGUCCAACCUGGCAGAUACUCCCAGAGCCCCUGGAACUCUGGCCCAAGGCUCUCUGACUGACUCUUUCCCAGAUCUUCUCGGCUUAGCAGCUGAAGACCGACACUGCUCGAUUGCCUCAGAAGCCCCCUGGACCAUCACAGAUGCUGAGCUUUGGGUAACUCUUACAGUGGAGGCCUCAGUUCCUACCAUAGUGCCUGUCACGGAGCAGCUAAUCGAUACAGUGAGGCGUAUAAGUUAUUUGAAGCCGCUUCCUGCGCAAUGGAAAGUCCCCGCCAAGUCUCCAGGCACCGCUGGAGGUAGUCCCAGUUAAAACAUUAGGUUUCAACAACACAAGGAGGGUUCGCAGGGUCCCCCGACUACCCACCAAGGGUCGGCUCUGGUUUGAAACGCAGCUGCAGGAGUCCGAGAAGCGCCGCGAUGCCCCAGUUAUCCAGGCCAUUCCUACCCCGGCCAAAGCCGGCCGGCUGCGUGUACCUAACCUUGCGCUAGGCGCUAGCGGCAGUCAAUCCAACAGGCGCGCGGUCCUCCGCGAUCCCAGCCUCCCUUGCGCCACGGACACGUCCGGCGGCUUCGCGGGGCCUGUCUACGCCACCGCGACGCCUUUCUAUGAUCCGCUGCCGCUUUCCGAGCGAGUGUCAUGGCGGCCGGCGUCGAGUUGGCAGGAGUAGCCCACGGAACUGGGGAAACUCACUAGAGCUGAGGAAGAAGUGGCCCAAUCUGGACGGCGGGAAUGAGCAGAAGGCCCUCCGUGGGUGACUGUGUCACUAGAGGCGGGACCCUGGUAAAAUUCCAGACCAGGCCUCUGCGUUGCUAGGCAGAACCUGGAGCCGGCCUUGCUUGAGAACCCCGCUUUGUGAUAUCGUAUCCUGUCUCGCGAAGGCAGGCGUUCAAGGAUAUUUGGUCCGAUCGUCCGACGGCGCUAAACUUUUUUUUUUUUUUUCUCCCGAGCGGACCAGGUCGUUCUCUAAACUCGCUGCGAUGUCGUCCUGGCUUGGGGGCCUCGGCUCCGGAUUGGGCCAGUCUCUGGGUCAUGUCGGGGGCAGCCUGGCUUCCCUCACUGGCCAGAUUUCAAACUUUACAAAGGAUAUGCUGAUGGAGGGCACGGAGGAAGUGGAAGGUAACAGCUGGAGCGAGGGAAGGGAGGGCUUUUCUAAGACCCUGGGAACGUCCGUUUGGUCCCUACUUCCAUCAGUCAGGAGACGCGGACAGGUCGCCAAGGAAUGCUGCUCCUCCCUUUUUUCUUCACACACCUCCUCUUGCCUCUUCUCAACAGAUUUUCUAUGAUGAAAGACCACUGGGGGCCAGGGGAAGACUCCUGGUUCUCCUCCUUUAAAUAUUCUGGAUAUCUCAAAGUACAGUAGAGUGAAACUGCUCCUACGUUAUGUCGAAUUUAUUUUUGUUUGGUUUAUCCACGCCCACCACUUUGCCCUCAGUUUGGGGUCUGAGCUCAUUCUUACUUCCCUGUAUUCUGACACAGUUUAAAGAAUUGUGUAUGUGUUCUAUUUUUGUAACAGUUGAAAUAACUCAUAAUUUAAACAUUCGGUGAGUUUUGCUCUUUUCUGUCUUGAGUAUGUUAUGAAACACGUCCAUAUUUUUCCAUUUAAUUAUUUUUUACUUUUCCUUAUUGUGAUGAUACAUUGUAGCGUUCCAGCUGAGAAUGUAUUUUUGUGUAUAGUCGCUCAUUUCGUCCGUAUUUCGACAGUAGACUAGGGAAGACAACCCUAUUAUUAAGGUACCCUUAGCAAUCUUCACUCAUUUUUGAAGUCCUCAAUCUUGUUAGUAAAACAAGAUUGAGUCACACACAAUAGUGACCCAGAGUUACAUGGUAAUCAAUGGCUACAUUAAUUACUAUCCAUUAAUUACUAUUUUGAUUUCUUGGCAUUUCAGUAAGCAAUGUUUGGAUCGAAACAGUUUUUAAGUUUCAAUCUAAGUCUGCUCCAGGGAGAUAAUGGACUGUUCUUCUGGGUGAGAGCUGCUGCUUUGACAAUUGUAUUUCUUAUAAAUAAAUUUAAUAAAUUAGUAUUCUGGCUUA
Molecule: RNA transcript, 3477 nt
Organism: Macaca mulatta (Rhesus monkey)
Lineage: Eukaryota; Metazoa; Chordata; Mammalia; Primates; Cercopithecidae
Gene: ATXN3
Gene name: ataxin 3
Source: RefSeq, a predicted model, not a curated record